This 2405-nucleotide long non-coding RNA is filed under the name Salmo salar (Atlantic salmon). RNAcentral describes it as "lncRNA (ENSSSAG00000121901.1)". Lineage: Eukaryota; Metazoa; Chordata; Actinopteri; Salmoniformes; Salmonidae. The record is from RNAcentral.
GAGCUCUGAUAUUUAUUAUAACAAAGGGAGAAGGCAAAGGCAGGUCGGGGACAGGUGAGAGUUCAUAAACCAGGUCAGAGUCCAAACAGACACAGACGAUAGGCAGUCUCGAGGUCAGGCCAGGCAGGGGUCAGAAACCAGACCCGAGUCCAAAACAGUACAAGGGGAUAGGCAGGCUGGUAGUCAGAACAGGCAGAGUGGUCAGGCAGGCGGGUUCAGAGUCAGGACAGGCAAGGGUCGAAACCAGGAGGACUAGAAACAAACAGAGACUGGGAAAAAAUAGGAGCAAGGAAAACCGCUAGAUGACUUGGCAAACAAGACGAACAGGCACAGAGAGACAGGAAACACAGGGAUAUAUACACCGGGGAUAAUAAGCGACACCUGGAGGGGGUGGAGACAAUCACAAAGACAGUUGAACCAGAUCAGGGUGUGACACUAAACAAGGCUUAAGGAGGAUGCAUCUUCUGCUAUCUUUGGCUGGUUCAGUCACUGUGGCAGGCAUUAGGGCAGUAGCAGGAGGAGAGGUCUGGCUAGCUCCUGUUGUACUGUAGCUGAUGCAGUCUCACUGCUGCCCCCUCCUUUCUCUGGUUCAACCUCUGGCUUAGCUGACUCAGCUGGUUCUGUCUAUCCUUUCUCUGGUAUAGUCUCUCCUCAGGUUCUGUUUUGGUCUCCUGUCAAUACCGGGUCAGUAUCUGGCUUGGGGCUGUCACUCUCCUCAGCCUGAUGUGGUUCUGUGUUUCCCUCAGCCAAUUAAGUAUUUUUGUUCUCUACUUUUACUGGUUCAGUGUCUAAGCGUCUUUUCGCUCCCUUCUUCAAUUGUUGGGUCAGUAGCUAUACUUGAUAGCAGUGCAAUUUGGGAUUGGUAAAAUGAGGAUAAGCCGUCAACUGGUGACGCCUUGGCUUUCUCCUCCUCCCCCUCUCUUCCUUCCCUCCAUCCCCUACUCCCUCCUCCAGGAUCUCGACUGGGAUAUGGGCUUGAGCCAUUGGCACUAGAUUCAGAGAGGUCUUUGGAGGUGCAACUGGCUUCCUUCUAAGCAGGGCUACUUGCUUCAGAGCUUCCUGAUUGGUUAUCUUCUGGGUUCCACUGUCACUCAGAGGAAACGGGAGGGUUUGUAGUUCCUCUGUGGGAGCAUCAUGCUUGUGUGAGAGGUUUGGGUCUGUGGGGGGCUCAGUGACACUCCCCCCACCAGCCACCUCAGAGGAAGACUCUGGGUCAGACAGUGGCGGCUCAUUUAUAUCUGUGACGAUGCCCUGUGUCUCGCUCCCAAUUCCGUGGUUUUUCCUUCUUCCACCACUUGAGGCUGAGGCGCUUCCUGCACUAAAACGUUAUUGUCUGCCUUGACAUGUUUAUUCUCCUUCACAGGUUCUGCAUUGUUCUUUUCUUUAUCCAGUGAUGAAACGUACCGAUCAUCGGAUGGAGAGAACCUGGCGUUCGUCAGGAAGAAAUCUGUCAUGUCAUGCUCAGACUCAUGGAUUUCCCCUUCUGUCUGUGCAUCGUCAGGGUGUGAGAGAAAGCUGUCCAGCGCAUAUGAUUCCUGGGCCCAAGUUCUGAAGCCUUCCUCUACGGCUGGCUACCCUUCCAGCUCCACCACAGGAGUCUCAUCCUUCAGGACAAACUUCUCCAGGUACCCCCUGGCCUUCCAGUCUGAGUGUCUGCUGUGGAAAGACCAUUCAGAGGUCAUACUCUCUGUCUUCAUCCUUCACUCCUUCCUUGCUGCCUCCCGCCUCUUCAUACAGGUCUGUGUAGCAGUGGUGGUCGGUGCUGUUUAAGAUAGGGAAGACUUUUUUAUUUUUUAUGAGCAUGGCCUUAUUUCAGUUACAGCAUAUUGAAUGACUGUCAUUCAUAUUCCAUUCACCCAGUUCAAUGUAACAGUAAUAGGUUUAGGCUACUACAUGAUACCCACAUUUUCCCUAUUCCCAUCAUGAGGUUGCUACAACCUAGACUGAAUGAAAGUUUAUAACGUAGGUGCACACAGGUCGAGAUAAACAUUUGAGGUGACAGACAGUGACAGACAGCGACACAUUCAAUACCGCCUUGCACACUCUUGCCUGUAUCUAUCUGAUUUUAGGGUGUAAUCAUUAGUCAUGUUUACAUACCACCACAGUAAGAGGCUGGCACUAAAAUGGCAUUGCAUGAGCUGUAUUCCGCCAUAAGCAAACAAGAAAACGCUCACCCAGAAGCGGCGCUCCUAGUAGCCGGGGACUUUAAUGCAGGGAAACUUAAAUCCGUUUCACCAAAUUUCUAUCAGCAUGUUAAAUGAGCAACCAGAGGGAAAAUAACUCUGGAGCACCUAUACUCCUCACAAAGAGACGCAUACAAAGCUCUCCCUCGCCCUCCAUUUGGCAAAUCUGACCAUAAUUCUAUCCUCCUGAUUCCUGCUUACAAGCAAAUAUUUAAGCAGGAA